CGAAGGUGGGCAAGCGUUGUUCGGAGUUUACUGGGCGUACAGGGAGCGUAGGCGGUUGGAUAAGCCCUCCGUGAGAUCUCCAGACUUAACCUGGAAAGUGCAGAGGGGACUGUUCAGCUAGAGGAUGGGAGAGGAGCGCGGAAUUCCCGGUGUAGCGGUGAAAUGCGUAGAGAUCGGGAGGAAGGCCGGUGGCGAAGGCGGCGCUCUGGAACAUUUCUGACGCUGAGGCUCGAAAGCGUGGGGAGCAAACAGGAUUAGAUACCCUGGUAGUCCACGCCUUAAACGAUGGAUACUAAGUGUCGGCGGGUUACCGCCGGUGCCGCAGCUAACGCAGUAAGUAUCCCGCCUGGGAAGUACGGCCGCAAGGUUG
Molecule: ribosomal RNA, 370 nt
Filed under: uncultured organism
Description: bacterial SSU rRNA
Rfam family: Bacterial small subunit ribosomal RNA
Source: RNAcentral